AUCAUUUUGUGGUUCAUAAGAUUAGUGAUUAUUGGGUUUUUAGACCAAGAUGUGGUAUGUGCCUCUCUCAAAUCUUGUUAUAACAGUGAUAUAUUACCUAAAUGAAA
Molecule: small nucleolar RNA, 107 nt
Organism: Nannospalax galili (Upper Galilee mountains blind mole rat)
Lineage: Eukaryota; Metazoa; Chordata; Mammalia; Rodentia; Spalacidae
Product: small nucleolar RNA U13
Exons: 1
Source: RefSeq, a predicted model, not a curated record